AUAUCUGAAUAGUCCUCUCAGUCUGUCCAUCGGUCUGAGGAUGAAAAUUCGUGCUAAAAUCCAACUGGGACCCCACAGCUCUCUGUAAGCUUUUCCAAAACUGAGACGUGAAACGUGGAUCCCAAGAAAA
Molecule: small nucleolar RNA, 130 nt
Organism: Malania oleifera
Lineage: Eukaryota; Viridiplantae; Streptophyta; Magnoliopsida; Santalales; Ximeniaceae
Product: small nucleolar RNA ACA64
Exons: 1
Source: RefSeq, a predicted model, not a curated record